This 492-nucleotide ribosomal RNA is filed under the name uncultured bacterium. RNAcentral describes it as "partial 16S ribosomal RNA". It matches the Rfam family "Bacterial small subunit ribosomal RNA", at positions 29 to 507 of the family's 1533-position model. The record is from RNAcentral.
AGUGAACGCUGGCGGUAGGCCUAACACAUGCAAGUCGAACGGCAGCACAGUAAGAGCUUGCUCUUACGGGUGGCGAGUGGCGGACGGGUGAGGAAUACAUCGGAAUCUACUUUUUCGUGGGGGAUAACGUAGGGAAACUUACGCUAAUACCGCAUACGACCUACGGGUGAAAGCAGGGGAUCUUCGGACCUUGCGCGAUUGAAUGAGCCGAUGUCGGAUUAGAUAGUUGGCGGGGUAAAGGCCCACCAAGGCGACGAUCCGUAGCUGGUCUGAGAGGAUGGUCAGCCACACUGGAACUGAGACACGGUCCAGACUCCUACGAGAGGCAGCAGUGGGGAAUAUUGGACAAUGGGCGCAAGCCUGAUCCAGCCAUACCGCGUGGGUGAAGAAGGCCUUCGGGUUGUAAAGCCCUUUUGUUGGGAAAGAAAAGCAGCAGGUUAAUACCCCGCUGUUCUGACGGUACCCAAAGAAUAAGCACCGGCUAACUUCGUG